GNNGGYUGYUAAUACAUGCAAGUCGAACGAACUCUGGUAUUGAUUGGUGCUUGCAUCAUGAUUUACAUUUGAGUGAGUGGCGAACUGGUGAGUAACACGUGGGAAACCUGCCCAGAAGCGGGGGAUAACACCUGGAAACAGAUGCUAAUACCGCAUAACAACUUGGACCGCAUGGUCCGAGUUUGAAAGAUGGCUUCGGCUAUCACUUUUGGAUGGUCCCGCGGCGUAUUAGCUAGAUGGUGNGGUAACGGCUCACCAUGGCAAUGAUACGUAGCCGACCUGAGAGGGUAAUCGGCCACAUUGGGACUGAGACACGGCCCAAACUCCUACGGGAGGCAGCAGUAGGGAAUCUUCCACAAUGGACGAAAGUCUGAUGGAGCAACGCCGCGUGAGUGAAGAAGGGUUUCGGCUCGUAAAACUCUGUUGUUAAAGAAGAACAUAUCUGAGAGUAACUGUUCAGGUAUUGACGGUAUUUAACCAGAAAGCCACGGCUAACUACGUGCCAGCAGCCGCGGUAAUACGUAGGUGGCAAGCGUUGUCCGGAUUUAUUGGGCGUAAAGCGAGCGCAGGCGGUUUUUUAAGUCUGAUGUGAAAGCCUUCGGCUCAACCGAAGAAGUGCAUCGGAAACUGGGAAACUUGAGUGCAGAAGAGGACAGUGGAACUCCAUGUGUAGCGGUGAAAUGCGUAGAUAUAUGGAAGAACACCAGUGGCGAAGGCGGCUGUCUGGUCUGUAACUGACGCUGAGGCUCGAAAGUAUGGGUAGCAAACAGGAUUAGAUACCCUGGUAGUCCAUACCGUAAACGAUGAAUGCUAAGUGUUGGAGGGUUUCCGCCCUUCAGUGCUGCAGCUAACGCAUUAAGCAUUCCGCCUGRGGAGUACGGCCGCAAGGCUGAAACUCAAAGGAAUUGACGGGGGCCCGCACAAGCGGUGGAGCAUGUGGUUUAAUUCGAAGCUACGCGAAGAACCUUACCAGGUCUUGACAUACUAUGCAAAUCUAAGAGAUUAGAYGUUCCCUUCGGGGACAUGGAUACAGGUGGUGCAUGGUUGUCGUCAGCUCGUGUCGUGAGAUGUUGGGUUAAGUCCCGCAACGAGCGCAACCCUUAUUAUCAGUUGCCAGCAUUAAGUUGGGCACUCUGGUGAGACUGCCGGUGACAAACCGGAGGAAGGUGGGGAUGACGUCAAAUCAUCAUGCCCCUUAUGACCUGGGCUACACACGUGCUACAAUGGAUGGUACAACGAGUUGCGAACUCGCGAGAGUAAGCUAAUCUCUUAAAGCCAUUCUCAGUUCGGAUUGUAGGCUGCAACUCGCCUACAUGAAGUCGGAAUCGCUAGUAAUCGCGGAUCAGCAUGCCGCGGUGAAUACGUUCCCGGGCCUUGUACACACCGCCCGUCACACCAUGAGAGUUUGUAACACCCAAAGUCGGUGGGGUAACCUUUUAGGAACCAGCCGCCUAAGGUGGGACAGAUGAUUANAGUGAAGUCGUAAAAAAGGUAACCA
RNAcentral lists this ribosomal RNA (1498 nucleotides) under Lactiplantibacillus plantarum. RNAcentral's name for it is "bacterial SSU rRNA". It matches the Rfam family "Bacterial small subunit ribosomal RNA". Lineage: Bacteria; Bacillati; Bacillota; Bacilli; Lactobacillales; Lactobacillaceae. The record is from RNAcentral.